CAGAUGUGGACUAUAAGCACAAGCCACUGUCUGGGGACACCAGAUGUCACUGGAGAGUGGCCUGUGCUGAGGACUUGGCUAUGCCCCAAGAGCUGGCUGUCGGAGGUCACACGAUUCCCUCACCCCGGGCACUGCUGCAGCAACACCUCACGUAGCACGUGGACCUUUGGCUACUAUCUCAGUAAGAACAUCUCCUGCAACUGGGAUGAGGGGAAAAAAGGUUUUUUUGGAAGGAAGUUCCCUCAUGGUAUCCAGUAGAAUCUUCAAUCAUUACAAUGAAAAUGACGCAGCUUUGGCCAUCGGGGAGGGAUCCUUGAUUGUGCCAUUGGCUGGUUUCUUCUCCUAUGGGUGACUUCAAGUUACCAGCAGUUUAACAGCCAGGUGAUGCCCUCUUCCGUGCUGUGACCCUCAUCGGACGCCAGGACUGCACUCUUGGUUUCAUCAGCUUCCGAAAUGGCGAACCGAAUCAAACUCUGUGGCUUAUAAACCUCUUGGCCUCCUAUAUCUUGUUAGAAGGCAGGGCUAAGACACCCAAGUAUGCAAUUGUGCACUAGAAGCACAGUUGGGCGUCUAGAAAAACCAACGGGGCGGUCAGUAAGAGAGCUGGUCACCCCUUGGGCCCAGAGCUGCUAGUUUCUUCUGUAUUGAUAGUAGGAUGGCAGGAGGAAGAUGGGCGGGGCCAGGCCCCGCUGAGAGGAAAACCCCUGCUGGACUACUUACAAGCAGUGCACGACCGUGCGACCUUCGCCUCCGUUGUACUCCUCCUGCCACUUGUCCGCCUGGCGGAUGAGCUUCAGGAAGGAGCGCUUGGACACCGGUGUAUCCCUGUACAUCGGCCAGCCCAGGAACUGAAACUGCUGAACCAUCCGAUGUCCAUCCUGUGGCUGCAGAGGGUGAGGCACCGGUCAGGGGGAGGGGCGGAGGAAACAAGCAUCACUUAACCCCACUGGAUCCUGGGCCCCUGAUUCCUCCCUCUUGAUCUUCCCAGCAGAGAAAGGUUGCUAUUCAGGAGCCUCAAGCCAGCAUACAACAAAGGGUAAUUCUGCAGACCUGGGGAGUUAUGACUUUAGGCUCUGGUGACAAUAAAGGCCCAGGUGUUUUUAAAUGACAGGCCAGAGGUAAAGGAGAGUGGCGUGGGAUGCUUACAUUUUGUAAAAAGCCAAGAGGAAAAUGUAACAACAGGACCGGCCAUGCUGUGCAUUUAUGUGGGAAAAUGGCUUCACUUUAAUUACAAGUAAAUUAAAGGUAAGGGGUAAAUUACAACCUAGAAAUGUUUGUGAGUUCGAUGCAACGUAGUUUCUACCCUGUUCUCUGUAUAAAACGGCUUUUGCUGUGCUGUCAAUAGUUAAUUAAUCACUACAUUUAAUUAAACAGGAUUGUGGAAUUCAAA
Mesocricetus auratus (golden hamster) is the source of this 1390-nucleotide long non-coding RNA. RefSeq lists it as uncharacterized. Lineage: Eukaryota; Metazoa; Chordata; Mammalia; Rodentia; Cricetidae. The transcript is spliced from 3 exons. The record is from RefSeq and is a predicted model, not a curated record.